Long non-coding RNA from Eriocheir sinensis (Chinese mitten crab), 1103 nucleotides. RefSeq lists it as uncharacterized. The transcript has 4 exons. Lineage: Eukaryota; Metazoa; Arthropoda; Malacostraca; Decapoda; Varunidae. The record is from RefSeq and is a predicted model, not a curated record.
CCCCUCAUCAUUCCACUCUCUUCCCACGCAAUUUCUUUUUUUCUAUUUUUUUUAUACCGAACGAUAAAGUUUCAAAAUGCUUCGUGGUUAGUUUCCGAUGCUAGUGACGUUUCCACCACCGCCAUCACCACCACCAUCACCACCACCAGCAUCAUCACCACCACCACCACCACCAACAGCAUCACUACUUGCCAUCUGCAGACAAAGACUCAUAUUCAAGAAGAAAGGAGAGAAAAACUUGACCUCCACACGUUUUGGAAGAUGUUGAUGUUCUCGAGGACUUCUGAGUAUUGUUAAUCCCACUUCGAAACAGCAUCUACGGGGGGAGUGGAAAAAAUUGGGCGGCUUUUCCGAUACCCUACGCCCCUGUCCACCCAGCAGUGAAUGGGUACCAGGUGUCGGCUGGAGGCCACGAGGGACGAAAAGGAACAAGUCUCCCUUCGCCUGCCUCCCGCGACCACCAACCGCCCGUGGGAUAUUGGACGCCGAUAAAGAAGGGACUCAGAAGCUACGUGAGGACACAGGGGUGGUAGUGCUGUCCAUUAUCUGCCCCGUGCUGCCGACAGAAGUGAUGGAGAUGUGUGGGUCACUUCGUCAGCCAGCAACUUCACCCAGCCAAUAGACCCAACUGCCUAGUCAUCCAGCUCUUUGCAGACACAUCCAUGGCUGCUUUGACCUCAUCUGAUAUCCUAGUUCACUGUGGUAAGUUAACAGUUUAUAUUAUAUGUGUGUUGCUCCUUUUUUUCGGCAACACAAUUCGUAAAUGAUACUGAGUGACUGACUGACUGACUGUUGUUUGAUAAGGAAGGCGGGUUGAGCUACAUACCGUGUUCCUCAGAUAUCAUGAAGUUAAUAAUGAGUUAGAGCCGCAUUGAUUCAUUUGUGGGGAGAUUUUAAACUUGAUAUUGGGUAGCGUGGAGGGGAAGUAUUGAGAAAGGCACCGCUUGUAAUUCCAGGUUUAGGUGACGAGAGAAAACGUAGCCCUCGAUUGUUUGAGUGGUAGACUGAACAGAAGGAAGAGGAGCUAGAAGAUAGGAGAGAGGGGGAUGAAAUGAGGAAGGAGUAGGAAGAAAAGAAGAAAAAGAAGUGUGAAAGGAAAGAGA